This 253-nucleotide unclassified non-coding RNA is filed under the name uncultured Planctomycetia bacterium. RNAcentral's name for it is "contains 16S-23S intergenic spacer region". It matches the Rfam family "Bacterial small subunit ribosomal RNA", at positions 524 to 776 of the family's 1533-position model. The record is from RNAcentral. Lineage: Bacteria; Pseudomonadati; Planctomycetota; Planctomycetia.
GACGAACCGUCCUAACGUUGUUCGGAUUCACUGGGCUUAAAGGGCGCGUAGGCGGGUGAGCAAGUCCGGGGUGAAAUCUUUCGGCUCAACCGGAAAAUGGCCUUGGAUACUGCUCGUCUCGAGGGAGGUAGGGGUCUGCGGAACUUCCGGUGGAGCGGUGAAAUGCGUUGAUAUCGGAAGGAACGCCGGUGGCGAAAGCGGCGGACUGGACCUCUUCUGACGCUGAGGCGCGAAAGCUAGGGUAGCGAACGGG